RNAcentral lists this long non-coding RNA (508 nucleotides) under Lathyrus oleraceus (garden pea). Its description in RNAcentral is "Pisum sativum (pea) long non-coding RNA (PSAT_LNC028769)". The record is from RNAcentral. Lineage: Eukaryota; Viridiplantae; Streptophyta; Magnoliopsida; Fabales; Fabaceae.
AAACCCAAACAGAUUAAACAUUAGAAAAAAAACUAAAAAUAAAAAAAAGUCUAUUGGACUACCGGUAGUUAAACCCAGCCGCUUGGCUGUUGGGUUUUUCAAGGGAAAAUGGAUUGAAAAUAUAAAAAUCAUUUAUUAACUAAGACCUAGGAAAAUUAAACGUAAUUUCAAAGAUUUAUUCUGUUUAAAGUAGAUUAAAAAAGAAAAUUGGAAUAGUGUACAGAAGCCUUUCCUCGUUCUCUCCAAAUCUCACUUUCUCAAAAUCAACCUCUCAACCUCACGUCUCUCUCGUAAAAACAAUCUCCACAAAUCUCUCUCUCACCCUCAACGAUUCGAUCUCAAACUGCGCUCACCUCUCCCAAUCGCUUGCACCCAUUCGAAAUGUACCAAUCUCACACCCUAAUCUCAUCCCAAAUGCACAAUAUCCACGGCUUUAAAUAAAUUUGAAGCUUACCUUCGGUGGCGGUUCGGUAGUGACGGUAAGGCUCGGGACGAAUUUCUUUACCUC